AGUAACGGCGAGUGAAGCGGUAACAGCUCAAAUUUGAAAUCUGGCUCCGUCGGAGUCCGAGUUGUAAUUUGGAGAAGAUGCUUUGGGUUGUGGGUUCGGCCUAAGUUCCUUGGAACAGGACGUCAUAGAGGGUGAGAAUCCCGUAUGUGGCCGAGGCCUGCGCCCGUGUAAAGCUCUUUCGACGAGUCGAGUUGUUUGGGAAUGCAGCUCAAAAUGGGUGGUAAAUUUCAUCUAAAGCUAAAUAUGGACCAGAGACCGAUAGCGCACAAGUAGAGUGAUCGAAAGAUGAAAAGCACUUUGGAAAGAGAGUUAAACAGUACGUGAAAUUGUUGAAAGGGAAGCGCUUGCAACCAGACUUGGGCGCUGCUGAUCAUCCAGAGUUCUCUCUGGUGCACUCGACAGCGCACAGGCCAGCAUCGGUUCGGAUGGCUGGAGAAAGACCGGAGGAACGUAGCUCCCUCUCGGGGGAGUGUUAUAGCCUCUGGUGCCAUACAGCCCAGCCGGACCGAGGACCGCGCCUUCGGGCUAGGAUGCUGGCGUAAUGGUUGUAAGCGACCCGUCUUGAAACACGGACCAAGGAGUCUAACAUCUAUGCGAGUGUUUGGGCGUUAAACCCAUACGCGGAAUGAAAGUGAACGUAGGUGAGAACCCUUUGGGGUGCAUCAUCGACCGAUCCUGAUGUCUUCGGAUGGAUUUGAGUAAGAGCAUAGC
This 711-nucleotide ribosomal RNA is filed under the name Erysiphe oleosa. Its description in RNAcentral is "eukaryotic LSU rRNA". It matches the Rfam family "Eukaryotic large subunit ribosomal RNA", at positions 82 to 806 of the family's 3401-position model. The record is from RNAcentral. Lineage: Eukaryota; Fungi; Ascomycota; Leotiomycetes; Helotiales; Erysiphaceae.